GAAAAACUGACUGAUUAUUCAAACCCCUUUCUCUCUUCUUUUCCUUUCUUUCCUUUGCACCACGAUUGGAUUGAUCGACCCCGUCUUCAUUAUCUUCCCUUCUCCUUUCUCUCUUCUGGCCCCUACUGGGGAUUCCGGACUAAACUAUGGCAGGGCUCAAUUGAUCCUCCGCAAUUCACUCGCUCCUCGCGAGGAGGAAAAACUGCACCGCUGCAUAAUUCAAAAAGCAAACACAGAGAGGAGAGGGAGAGAGGAAAAAUCAAUACGGCUACAACUGAUCCUGCAGAUAAAUGAAGCGGCGAGCGCCGGCGAGAGGGAGGAUCCCUGGCAGCCGCCCCUCAGCCCAGAGAAACUUCAGCAACUUGGAAAUGGGCUCAGGAAGCUCCUUCCUCCUUUGAGCUGCUCGUCACCGCGCUGUGAAGCUUGUUUUCCCCUCUUGUCGGAACAAGUCUCACUCAGGCAGGAUUUGGCCAUGAAAGACACCAAUGAGAGGGCGUUGUGAUCAGCGUCCACCACCUGGUCUGCCUGCCCUGGGGCUGUCUUGAAGAUGGAGAAGGUGAGCCAUGGUCUGCCAUGCCUGAGCCCAGCUCCAGGACCACCACACAGCCCUCUCCCAAACGUCCAUCUCCCUCCAGGCCAC
RNAcentral lists this long non-coding RNA (640 nucleotides) under Calidris pugnax (ruff). Its description in RNAcentral is "lncRNA (ENSCPUG00000008257.1)". The record is from RNAcentral. Lineage: Eukaryota; Metazoa; Chordata; Aves; Charadriiformes; Scolopacidae.